AGUGAACGCUGGCGGCAGGCCUAAUACAUGCAAGUCGAACGGCAGCACAGCAGAGCUUGCCCUGUGGUGGCGAGUGGCGGACGGGUGAGGAAUACGUGGGAAUCUGCCCAGUCGUGGGGGAUAACGUAGGGAAACUUACGCUAAAUACCGCAUGCGCCCUUGGGGAAAAGCCGGGGACCUUCGGGCCUGGCGCGAUUGGAUGAGCCCAGUCGGAUUAGCUAGUUGGCGGGUAAAGGCCCACCAAGGCGACGAUCCGUAGCUGGUCUGAGAGGAUGAUCAGCCACACUGGAACUGAGACACGGUCCAGACUCCUACGGGA
RNAcentral lists this ribosomal RNA (319 nucleotides) under uncultured bacterium. Its description in RNAcentral is "bacterial SSU rRNA". It matches the Rfam family "Bacterial small subunit ribosomal RNA", at positions 29 to 346 of the family's 1533-position model. The record is from RNAcentral.